RNAcentral lists this small RNA (69 nucleotides) under Bacillus sp. CECT 9360. RNAcentral describes it as "Bacillaceae-1". It matches the Rfam family "Bacillaceae-1 RNA". The record is from RNAcentral. Lineage: Bacteria; Bacillati; Bacillota; Bacilli; Caryophanales; Bacillaceae.
UUUAGAGGAACGUCGGCUAAGGCCCGCCACGUCCAUGUGACGAACGCCGACGCCAGCACAUCCUGUGCA